CGCUCCAGUGCACUUGGGUUUCUCCACAUCUCUGUAUCUCAAGGAUCACUCAUGGGACAUGAAGCCUUCCUUAGAAGAAAACCUUUGAUGCCAGCCUAGUCCUUCUGAGUCAGCUCCCCAGCAUGCAAGUCCAUAAGCACAGCCAAACAGAGGAAAAUAACAGUGAUGUACUGCAGCGUAGAAGACAUAUAAAUCUGUUGUCACCACUGGUUGGCUGGCCCAGCACCCUCACCUGCACUGUACUGCAACUCCAGUUAGCACAGAACACCUCAGUGUCACCG
This is a long non-coding RNA of Melopsittacus undulatus (budgerigar), 281 nucleotides long. RefSeq lists it as uncharacterized. The record is from RefSeq and is a predicted model, not a curated record. NCBI's taxonomy places the organism in Eukaryota, Metazoa, Chordata, Aves, Psittaciformes, Psittaculidae. The transcript has 3 exons.